CCAAGUCCUGGGCCUCCACUCUGAGUGAUGUCCUUGAAGGAGAAGAGGAAAAGUACAACCUCCCCCAUCUCAUUCUUGAUGGGCAUCAUGUCCAGGAGGCACCAAAAUGCUGAGCCUGCAGGUGUGGAGAGGAGAUGCUGCAGUCGUCGGGGAGCAGACCCCAAAGCACCUGGCCACUUCGUCCCACCUCCGCGUCUUGGAUACUCCCGUACACGCCCACAGCAGAGCCCUGCCCGAGAGUGGGCGGCUCUCAAGGACUCCUCCGCUUUUCCGCACAAAGAACCUUUCCUGCCUCCUGUCACACACCCCCAACCUUGGCUGCCCGCACUCUUGGUCCUCUCCACGUCUCCCCUCCCAGGGCGCUGCCAGUCCUGCUCCUUUACUGGGGCUCUGGGAGUUCUUAGACCCUCCUAGCCCAUUCUCCUCGCCUUGGGUCUCUCUCAUCAUAUUCAGGAGACCCACGCGAGCGCCAAAGGAGACUUGACCUCUAGCUCGAACCCUCAGCUCCAGCCUCCACCCAACUCACGCGUGCCGUCGAAGCGGGUGGCGAUGGUGUCCAGGAAGGUGUUCUGCGGGGCCAGCAACCCCUUCAUGACCGGCAUGGCCUCGGGGCGCAGAUUCCAGGCGCAGCGCUGGGGGCGUUCAGCGCGGCCGGGCCGGAGGGGGCGCGCUGCCGGCGGGGCCGGGGCGCCCCAUGCGCCCGCCUGCCUCUUCCCCUCCCUCUAGGCGCCGCCG
Molecule: long non-coding RNA, 735 nt
Organism: Bubalus bubalis (water buffalo)
Lineage: Eukaryota; Metazoa; Chordata; Mammalia; Artiodactyla; Bovidae
Exons: 2
Source: RefSeq, a predicted model, not a curated record